Molecule: non-coding RNA, 196 nt
Organism: Cicer arietinum (chickpea)
Lineage: Eukaryota; Viridiplantae; Streptophyta; Magnoliopsida; Fabales; Fabaceae
Source: Rfam
AUACCUUUCUCGGCCUUUUGGCUAAGAUCAAGUGUAGUAUCUGUUCUUAUCAGUUUAAUAUCUGAUACGUGGGCCAACGGUCCACACGAUAUUAAAUUUAUUUCUUGAGGGGGAGAGUCCAUUACAAUAGCUUGCUAUUGGGUCUCUUGAGUGUUACCUUUGUGUUGCACUACUGCAUUGGGUUGGUGCACCCCAC